Molecule: transfer RNA, 16 nt
Filed under: Aphelandra boyacensis
Lineage: Eukaryota; Viridiplantae; Streptophyta; Magnoliopsida; Lamiales; Acanthaceae
Description: partial tRNA-His
Source: RNAcentral
AUGUAGCCAAGUGAUC